GGAGGAUUACCCAAGUCCGGCUGAAGGGAACGGUCUUGAAAACCGUCAGGCGUGUAAAAGCGUGCGUGGGUUCGAAUCCCCACAUCCUCCU
This 91-nucleotide transfer RNA is filed under the name Streptococcus gordonii. RNAcentral's name for it is "tRNA-Ser(tga)". It matches the Rfam family "tRNA". Rfam says of the family: Transfer RNA (tRNA) molecules are approximately 80 nucleotides in length. Lineage: Bacteria; Bacillati; Bacillota; Bacilli; Lactobacillales; Streptococcaceae. The record is from RNAcentral.